UACGUAGGGGGCAAGCGUUGUCCGGAUUUAUUGGGCGUAAAGAGCGUGUAGGCGGUUAGGUAGGUCCGUUGUGAAAACUCGAGGCUCAACCUCGAGACGCCGAUGGAAACCAUCUAACUAGAGUCCGGAAGAGGAGAGUGGAAUUCCUGGUGUAGCGGUGAAAUGCGCAGGAUAAUCAGGAAGAACACCCGUGGCUAAGGCGGCUCUCUAGUACGGUACUGACGCUGAGACGCGAAAGCGUGGGGAGCGAACAGG
This 255-nucleotide ribosomal RNA is filed under the name uncultured bacterium. Its description in RNAcentral is "partial 16S ribosomal RNA". It matches the Rfam family "Bacterial small subunit ribosomal RNA", at positions 524 to 776 of the family's 1533-position model. The record is from RNAcentral.